CUCUGUGACUCCUACGGGAGGCAGCAGUGGGGAAUAUUGCACAAGUGGGGGAAACCCUGAUGCAGCCAUGCCGCGUGUGUGAAGAAGGCCUUCGGGUUGUAAAGCUACUUUCAGGUAGGGAGGAAGGUAGUGUAGUUAACACCUGCAUUAUUUGACGUUACCUACAGAAGAAGCACCGGCUAACUCCGUGCCAGCAGCCGCGGUAAUACGGAGGGUGCGAGCGUUAAUCGGAAUUACUGGGCGUAAAGCGCAUGCAGGCGGCCUGUUAAGUCAGAUGUGAAAGCCCCGGGGCUUAACCUCGGAAUUGCAUUUUGAAACUGGCAGGCUAGAGUCUUGUAGAGGGGGUAGAAUUUCAGGUGUAGCGGUGAAAAUGCGUAGAGAUCUGAAGGAAUACCAGUGGCGAAGGCGGCCCCCCUCGGACAAAGACUGACGCUCAGAUGCGAAAGCGUGGGGAGCAAACAGGAUUAGAUACCCUGGUAG
Molecule: ribosomal RNA, 480 nt
Filed under: uncultured bacterium
Lineage: Bacteria
Description: bacterial SSU rRNA
Rfam family: Bacterial small subunit ribosomal RNA
Source: RNAcentral